This 552-nucleotide unclassified non-coding RNA is filed under the name Hevea brasiliensis (rubber tree). The record is from RNAcentral. Lineage: Eukaryota; Viridiplantae; Streptophyta; Magnoliopsida; Malpighiales; Euphorbiaceae.
GAGCUCUUCUUCAUCCUCACCUCCAUCUGGCUGAACCAGUUUUACUACCUCUUCGGUUUCCUCUUCAUCGUUUUUGUCAUCCUGAUAGUCACCUGUGCCGAAAUAACCAUCGUACUAUGCUAUUUCCAGUUAUGCAGUGAGGACUACUUAUGGUGGUGGAGAUCCUACUUGACAUCAGGCUCGUCCGCACUUUACCUGUUCCUUUACGCUACCUUCUACUUCUUCACUAAGCUUGACAUCACUAAGCCUGUUUCUGGGAUCUUAUAUUUUGGUUACAUGUUGAUUGCUUCAUAUGCAUUCUUCGUCCUCACUGGUACCAUCGGUUUCUACGCAUGCUUCUGGUUCACAAGACUCAUCUACUCGUCUGUGAAGAUCGAUUGAUCCUCCAGUUCACUGGUUUGUCUGUCAACAUGAAUGCUGUAGAAGAUUACAAUUGAAUAUCCAAAGUAAUUUGAACAUAAGAAUAUUACAAUGUCUUAGUAAAAUUUUCCAGUAUUUAGUUCAGAACAAAAAGCUUCCUUUUUUGUUCAAUAGAGUUCAGAUGAAAUGUUC